This 928-nucleotide ribosomal RNA is filed under the name bovine gut metagenome. RNAcentral describes it as "bacterial SSU rRNA". It matches the Rfam family "Bacterial small subunit ribosomal RNA", at positions 483 to 1531 of the family's 1533-position model. The record is from RNAcentral.
AGAAAAAGCACCGGCUAACUUCGUGCCAGCAGCCGCGGUAAUACGAAGGGUGCAAGCGUUGUUCGGAUUUACUGGGCGUAAAGCGUCCGUAGGUGGUUUGUUAAGUCAGGGGUGAAAUCCCAGGGCCCAACCCUGGAACUGCCUUUGAUACUGGCAAGCUGGAGCGCGAUAGAGGAAGAUGGAAUAUCUGGUGUAGGGGUGAAAUCCGUAGAUAUCAGAUAGAACACCAAUGGCGAAGGCAGUCUUCUGGAUCGUUGCUGACACUGAGGGACGAAAGCGUGGGUAGCAAACAGAAUUAGAUACUCUGGUAGUCCACGCCCUAAACGAUGCAUGCUUGUUGUUGGUUUCCUUCGGGGGAUCAGUGACGGAGUUAACGCGUUAAGCAUGCCGCCUGGGGACUACGAUCGCAAGAUUAAAACUUAAAGGAAUUGACGGGGACCCGCACAAGCAGUGGAGUAUGUUGUUUAAUUCGAUGCUACGCGAGAAACCUUACCGACCCUUGACAUCUUGGUCGCGACUUCCAGAGAUGGUUGUCUUCAAUUCGGUUGGACCAAAGACAGAUGCUGCAUGGCUGUCGUCAGCUCGUGUCGUGAGAUGUUAGGUUAAGUCCUGCAACGAGCGCAACCCACGCCCUAUGUUGCCAGCGGGUAAUGCCGGGAACUCUUAGGGGACUGCCCGCGUCAAGCGGGAGGAAGGUGUGGAUGACGUCAAGUCAUCAUGGUUCUUACGGGUCGGGCUACAAACGUACUACAAUGGNNCGGUGAAUACGUUCCCGGGUCUUGUACACACCGCCUGUCAAACCAUGAGAGUCGAUUUCACCCAAAGUCGGUAGUUUAACGCAAGAGGGCGCCGCCUACGGUGGGAUUGGUGAUUGGGGUUAAGUCAUAACAAGGUAGCAGUACCGGAAGGUGCGGCUGGAUCACCUCCU